RNAcentral lists this ribosomal RNA (324 nucleotides) under uncultured bacterium. RNAcentral describes it as "bacterial SSU rRNA". It matches the Rfam family "Bacterial small subunit ribosomal RNA", at positions 396 to 736 of the family's 1533-position model. The record is from RNAcentral.
GCCGCGUGAACGAAGAAGGCUUUCGAGUCGUAAAGUUCUGUUAUAGGGGAAGAAGAAGUGACGGUACCCUAUGAGAAAGCCACGGCUAAUUACGUGCCAGCAGCCGCGGUAAUACGUAAGUGGCAAGCGUUAUCCGGAAUUACUGGGCAUAAAGAGUGCGUAGGCGGUUAAACAAGCCAAUAGUGAAAUCCACCAGCCUAACUGGUGUCAGCUAAUGGAACUGUAUAACUUGAGUACAGGAGAGGAAAGUGGAAUUCCUAGUGUAGUAGUGAAAUGCGUAGAUAUUAGGAAGAACAUCAGUAGCGAAGGCGACUUUCUGGACUG